RNAcentral lists this ribosomal RNA (300 nucleotides) under uncultured Acinetobacter sp. Its description in RNAcentral is "bacterial SSU rRNA". It matches the Rfam family "Bacterial small subunit ribosomal RNA", at positions 30 to 332 of the family's 1533-position model. Lineage: Bacteria; Pseudomonadati; Pseudomonadota; Gammaproteobacteria; Moraxellales; Moraxellaceae. The record is from RNAcentral.
CGAACGCUGGCGGCAGGCUUAACACAUGCAAGUCGAGCGGAUGAAGGUAGCUUGCUACCGGAUUCAGCGGCGGACGGGUGAGUAAUGCUUAGGAAUCUGCCUAUUAGUGGGGGACAACGUUCCGAAAGGAGCGCUAAUACCGCAUACGUCCUACGGGAGAAAGCAGGGGACCUUUGGGCCUUGCGCUAAUAGAUGAGCCUAAGUCGGAUUAGCUAGUUGGUAGGGUAAAGGCCUACCAAGGCGACGAUCUGUAGCGGGUCUGAGAGGAUGAUCCGCCACACUGGGACUGAGACACGGCCC